GUGCUUUCUGUGAAGCCGGGCUGUAAGGCAUCCGGUGGAGAGAUCACUAGUGAGAAUGAUGACAUGAGUAGCGACAAAGAGUGUGAGAGACACUCUCGCCGAAAGUCCAAGGGUUCCUGCUUAAAGCUAAUCUGAGCAGGGUAAGCCGGCCCCUAAGUCGAGGCAGAAAUGCGUAGACGAUGGGAACUAGGUUAAUAUUCCUAGGCCAGGAGGAUGUGACGGAUCAUGAAGGUUGUUCACCCUUAUUGGAUUGGGUGGGCCGCUAAUUGGUUCCUGGAAAUAGCCCUCCAUUAGACCGUACCCUAAACCGACACAGGUGGACUGGUAGAGAAUACCAAGGCGCUUGAGAGAACUAUGUUGAAGGAACUCGGCAAAAUACCUCCGUAAGUUCGCGAGAAGGAGGCCCGGUUCCUAGGCAACUAGGGGCUGGGGGCACAAACCAGGGGGUGGCGACUGUUUACUAAAAACACAGGGCUCUGCGAAGUCGCAAGACGACGUAUAGGGUCUGACGCCUGCCCGGUGCCUGAAGGUUAAAAGGAGGGGUGAGAGCUCUGAAUUGAAGCCCAGGUAAACGGCGGCCGUAACUAUAACGGUCCUAAGGUAGCGAAAUUCCUUGUCGGGUAAGUUCCGACCUGCACGAAUGGCGUAACGACUUCCCCGCUGUCUCCAACAUAGACUCAGCGAAAUUGAAUUGCCUGUCAAGAUGCAGGCUUCCCGCGGUUAGACGGAAAGACCCCGUGCACCUUUACUACAGCUUCGCACUGGCAUCAGGCACAACAUGUGCAGGAUAGGUGGUGGGCUUUGAAGCAGAAACGCCAGUUUCUGUGGAGCCUCCCUUGAGAUACCACCCUUGUUCUGCUUGAUGUCUAACCGCGGUCCGUUAUCCGGAUCCGGGACCCUGCGUGGCGGGUAGUUUGACUGGGGCGGUCGCCUCCCAAAGAGUAACGGAGGCGCGCGAAGGUUGGCUCAGAGCGGUCGGAAAUCGCUCGUUGAGUGCAAUGGCAGAAGCCAGCCUGACUGCGAGACUGACAAGUCGAGCAGAGACGAAAGUCGGCCAUAGUGAUCCGGUGGUCCCGAGUGGAAGGGCCAUCGCUCAACGGAUAAAAGGUACGCCGGGGAUAACAGGCUGAUACUGCCCAAGAGUCCAUAUCGACGGCAGUGUUUGGCACCUCGAUGUCGGCUCAUCUCAUCCUGGGGCUGGAGCAGGUCCCAAGGGUAUGGCUGUUCGCCAUUUAAAGAGGUACGUGAGCUGGGUUUAGAACGUCGUGAGACAGUUCGGUCCCUAUCUGCCGUGGGUGUAGGAUACUUGAGAGGAGUUGCCCCUAGUACGAGAGGACCGGGGUGAACGAUCCACUGGUGGACCUGUUGUUGCGCCAGCAGCAGUGCAGGGUAGCUAUGAUCGGACAGGAUAACCGCUGAAGGCAUCUAAGCGGGAAGCCCCCCUCAAAACAAGGUAUCCCUGAGGGCCGUGGAAGACCACCACGUCGAUAGGCCGGAGAUGUAAGCAUGGUAACAUGUUCAGUUGACCGGUACUAAUGGCCCGAUAGGCUUGAUU
Molecule: ribosomal RNA, 1555 nt
Filed under: marine metagenome
Description: bacterial LSU rRNA
Rfam family: Bacterial large subunit ribosomal RNA
Source: RNAcentral